UGGCGAGGAGAAAAAACCCGUUCCCAUCCCGAACACGGCCGUUAAGCUCCUCUGCGCCGAUGGUACUUUGUCUCAAGGCACGGGAGAGUAGGUCACUGCCA
RNAcentral lists this ribosomal RNA (101 nucleotides) under Terrihabitans soli. Lineage: Bacteria; Pseudomonadati; Pseudomonadota; Alphaproteobacteria; Hyphomicrobiales. The record is from RNAcentral.